UACGAAGGGGGCUAGCGUUGCUCGGAAUCACUGGGCGUAAAGCGCACGUAGGCGGAUUGUUAGGUCAGGGGUGAAAUCCUGGAGCUCAACUCCAGAACUGCCUUUGAUACUGGCGAUCUUGAGUCCGGGAGAGGUGAGUGGAACUGCGAGUGUAGAGGUGAAAUUCGUAGAUAUUCGCAAGAACACCAGUGGCGAAGGCGGCUCACUGGCCCGGUACUGACGCUGAGGUGCGAAAGCGUGGGGAGCAAACAGG
RNAcentral lists this ribosomal RNA (253 nucleotides) under uncultured bacterium. RNAcentral describes it as "partial 16S ribosomal RNA". It matches the Rfam family "Bacterial small subunit ribosomal RNA", at positions 524 to 776 of the family's 1533-position model. The record is from RNAcentral.